AGUCGCCCCAGCCUGCGCCCCAGGGGAUACCUCCUCUUCCAGAGUUGAAGAGUGAGAUAUUGUCUCUUGUAGUUCCUUCUGUGGGCAUUUUGAGUCAAGAAGUCAACCGUUCUGAUAACUACAGAUCAGAUUCCUAAAGCUGCAAGAAAAAGAUAACAAUUUUCAGCCUGAAUACCCCAUUUGGGGAUUCCUGAUUGUCACUGAAAACUCAAGAAAGCCUUCUCUGCAGCUGCCCGGCAGCCUCCCUCAGUGCGUGCAAAGAGCUGUCUGAGGACGAGCCCCUGCUCUCCCCGUCACCAGCACAAGCAGCAAGGAUGGCGCAUAAAUGUACCCUGAGCACAGGAAAGUAAAAACGUGGGAGGCUAAACGUCUACGUUCUUGACUUACACAAUGUAAGAACUCUCCAAAUGACUCUUCAGAAUAAAGUCCCAGGAAAUAUA
RNAcentral lists this long non-coding RNA (440 nucleotides) under Rattus norvegicus (Norway rat). RNAcentral describes it as "long non-coding RNA NONRATT003927". Lineage: Eukaryota; Metazoa; Chordata; Mammalia; Rodentia; Muridae. The record is from RNAcentral.